RNAcentral lists this ribosomal RNA (638 nucleotides) under Lactobacillaceae bacterium. Its description in RNAcentral is "bacterial SSU rRNA". It matches the Rfam family "Bacterial small subunit ribosomal RNA", at positions 64 to 675 of the family's 1533-position model. The record is from RNAcentral. Lineage: Bacteria; Bacillati; Bacillota; Bacilli; Lactobacillales; Lactobacillaceae.
UAGAUGAUUUUAGUGCUUGCACUAAAUGAAACUAGAUACAAGCGAGCGGCGGACGGGUGAGUAACACGUGGGUAACCUGCCCAAGAGACUGGGAUAACACCUGGAAACAGAUGCUAAUACCGGAUAACAACACUAGACGCAUGUCUAGAGUUUGAAAGAUGGUUCUGCUAUCACUCUUGGAUGGACCUGCGGUGCAUUAGCUAGUUGGUAAGGUAACGGCUUACCAAGGCAAUGAUGCAUAGCCGAGUUGAGAGACUGAUCGGCCACAUUGGGACUGAGACACGGCCCAAACUCCUACGGGAGGCAGCAGUAGGGAAUCUUCCACAAUGGACGAAAGUCUGAUGGAGCAACGCCGCGUGAGUGAAGAAGGGUUUCGGCUCGUAAAGCUCUGUUGGUAGUGAAGAAAGAUAGAGGUAGUAACUGGCCUUUAUUUGACGGUAAUUACUUAGAAAGUCACGGCUAACUACGUGCCAGCAGCCGCGGUAAUACGUAGGUGGCAAGCGUUGUCCGGAUUUAUUGGGCGUAAAGCGAGUGCAGGCGGUUCAAUAAGUCUGAUGUGAAAGCCUUCGGCUCAACCGGAGAAUUGCAUCAGAAACUGUUGAACUUGAGUGCAGAAGAGGAGAGUGGAACUCCAUGUG